GCAAGACUCUGUCUCAAAAAUAAAUAAAUAAAUAAAUAAAACAGAAGUUGUCCUCCUGAGGGGAUGGAAAGAGAGACUGAGGCAGUUAACUGGGCCUUCCUUCCUCUGGGCCACAGGCCUGGCCUCUGUUACAUACCUGGAGCCCAACAGGCAAGGAUAAAGCAGUUUGCUUAAGAAACUGCAGGAGAACAAGCUGGGACAACACACAUUCGUUCUCCUUAGGGUGACGGAGGGAGUGGUUUCAGAGGCACAGUCUGGCAGAGCCUACGUGAGCAUUUUCUUGCCAAGAUCACUCCUGCUUGAUCAAUCUACUGAGCAAACAGCACUCUGCUUGCAGGGGACUUGUGCUGAGGCAGCUGCACCAUGAACUACAUACAGCAAAUGAUGAGCCCGAGGGCAGACAGCAGUAAGACUCCACCUCCCACCGCUGCGAUGAGGAUGACAGUCAAGUCUGUGAGCAGAGACAUAAAGAGACAGAUGAAGAGGCAGCUGGGGUGAGCUCUGCAAUGAACUUGAGGCAUCUCCAAAAGCAGCUGCCAUCUCUCCAAAGGUGGAGCGCCAUACAUGUGGCUCCUUGUGUGCACAUGGGGCUCCUCAUAUCACAAAGUGUUUAUUUCCUUUCCUCUUGGAUCUGGGUCAGCCAAUAUAAGGCAACUGUGCCAGUUCUGGGCCUAACUUUUAAGAGGAUGUCAGCUUGCACUUUCUCUCUGAGAGAAAGCCAGCUACUAUGUAAGAAGUCUGACUAUGCUGAGACCACCAUGCUGUGAGAAAGCCCAAGCUAGCCAUGUAGAGAUUCCACCGGGGAAAAAAAUCAACCCAGUGAGAACCAAAGGCCAUAGACAUAUGUCUCCAGUUGAAUUCUCCAAGCCAUCCUCUCUACUUGUUCAAGGCUUCUGGUUGGGGCCCCAGAUAUCCUGGAGCACAGAUAAGAUACACUGCUGUGCCCUGUCUGAAUUCCUGAUCCAUAAAUCGUGGGUAAACAAAAUAGCUAUUGCCAAAGCCACCAAAUUUUGGGGUAGUUUGUAUAUAGCAAUGAACAAUUGAAACAAACUGAGGGACCUACCAGAUCAACUUCAAAGGCUACUCCUGGCCUACAACAGGUGUGUUCCACUGAUUGCCACAGCCUGUCUUGGAGAAGAGAAGAGCAGAGGAGGGUAGGAGAAAGCAGGGAGUCAAAAGUCAGAAGUGAGGCAGCUAAAGGGAGGGUUGUUUCCUUUGUGCUGUCCUUUUCCUGCAGCUGCACAAAGGAAAAAGAAAAUAAAUCAGAGGGGGAACCCUGUACCAAACAGCGAAUUAGAAUGUCUUGCUUAUUCACCAAGAAAACAAAAGGUGAGAUCCAAAGGAAAGAGGAAUGGAAAGAAAUGACAGAAAAUGAAUCUAAGAGAGGAAGAAAACCCAGGAUAUAAUCUAUGAGUGUGGAGAGGUUUUCACUUGUGGCAUUUGGCUCCCACCAGUUCUCUUGAGGCUAACCAGUUGUGUGGCUUGGAUGGACCUUCAAUCACUCUGACCCCCAGAAAGGGAAAGGGAAAAAAGCAGCCUCCACAGUCCCUUCUGAUUCUGACACUGUGAUGCUCGGUGCCUUCACUGAGUAAAGGGCAGACAUGGCCCCACCACAGCCUGCCCUGCCACACCUGCAUUCCCUUGCUUGAUACCCUUUAGUGGUGCCCAUGACUUUGAGGAAUAAAGGCAAACUCAUCAUCCUGGCUCCAAGGCCUCCCACUGAGGGUAUUUCAUGGAUUCCAACGUUUCACUGAGACUAAACAAAAAACCAUGUACCUGUCAGACUUUUCAGGUCCCCAUAUUUUAAUUCAUGACACCGAAUCCCAUGAUACUUUUAUGAGGUGGCUAUUAUUAUCUACUCUCUGUAGAUGAGGAAGAUCAUAGGUGUGAAGAGACUUCCCCUACGUAAAAGAGAGAUGAAUGGUAAAGGAUGCUGGUAGAUUGACUAAAAAAAAUCUAGGCUGGCCAAAAGAAUGCAGUCGAAGGGAUGGUGUGUGAGUUCCUAACCUAAAAGUAUCAAAAGACCUUAUAUGCCUCCUCCAGUCUCUUGUGGAUCUCUCUGCCUCUGCCAUGAAAACAGCCCAGGCUGGAGAACAAGAGAUCAUGUAGAGUCAAGCCAAGUAAUCUCAGUUGUCUCAGAUGAUCUUGGCUGAGCCUCAGCUUUUUGAAAGCACCAAGCUAAGAUCAGCAAAGUCCUCUAGCCAACCUGCAGCUGCCAGUAGGUGCAUGAAUGACUGAGCCCUGAUAAGUCCAGCUCAGACCAGAAUUGCCCAGCCAACGUUGGAGCAAUAAUAGAUGGCUGCUACUAAGCCACUAUGUUCUGGGAUGGUUUGUUACUCAGCACUAUUGAUGCAAUAGCUGACUGAUACAUGGACAGUCAGGACUCAAUCUGUGAUUCUGACUUGUCUCCAGGCUUGCUCUCUAUCCUCCAGCUGACAAUUUUUUGUUCAUCACUGUCCCCAAAGACCCUGAAGGCCCUUACCCACAGUCCUUGGGGUAAGUGUCACCGAGAAGAGCAGGUCUAGC
RNAcentral lists this long non-coding RNA (2526 nucleotides) under Homo sapiens (human). RNAcentral's name for it is "HSALNT0053846". The record is from RNAcentral. Lineage: Eukaryota; Metazoa; Chordata; Mammalia; Primates; Hominidae.